CUCCUCCAGUCGAGCACCACCGGCAGCCAUGGAUACGCAGCAUCCAGACGAAGAAACCACAGCCUGAGAUCAGCAGCUCGUUUGGAUCGCUGGCCGGAUCCGUGGCGUUGUCUCCUGUUCCACGAAUCGAGAUCUAAGCUCACCAACUUUAAUCUUUCAUCUCUCUUACCGAUUC
This is a long non-coding RNA of Selaginella moellendorffii, 175 nucleotides long. RefSeq lists it as uncharacterized. The transcript has 2 exons. The record is from RefSeq and is a predicted model, not a curated record. Lineage: Eukaryota; Viridiplantae; Streptophyta; Lycopodiopsida; Selaginellales; Selaginellaceae.